Non-coding RNA from Salmo salar (Atlantic salmon), 54 nucleotides. Lineage: Eukaryota; Metazoa; Chordata; Actinopteri; Salmoniformes; Salmonidae. The record is from Rfam.
AGUAUUCACUACUGUAAGGUGCUCUGGAUAAGAGCGUCUGCUAAAUGACUAAAA